GUUUUGUAUGAAAGGAGAGGUUAGCACUCCCCUCGACCAGGAUGGAAGAGGCCCUCGGGCCUGACAACACGUAUACGGUUAAGACAUUGCCACCUACUUCGUGGCAUCUAACCACUGUUUUUG
Molecule: non-coding RNA, 123 nt
Filed under: Physeter macrocephalus (sperm whale)
Lineage: Eukaryota; Metazoa; Chordata; Mammalia; Artiodactyla; Physeteridae
Source: RNAcentral